Long non-coding RNA from Otolemur garnettii (small-eared galago), 1676 nucleotides. RefSeq lists it as uncharacterized. The transcript has 2 exons. Lineage: Eukaryota; Metazoa; Chordata; Mammalia; Primates; Galagidae. The record is from RefSeq and is a predicted model, not a curated record.
GAUGGACGUGUCACAGUUCUCAUGGGACUCUGCACAAUGAGGGGGCCUGGGAGAGGGUGUUUCUGAGACCACAUCAUUGCUCAGGGUGGCACUGUCCACCUGCACCUCUCUCAUGUGUACUCCAGCCCGGAGGUGGUGGCAGAACUCUGGGUGCUGCUGACAGCUUCCUGGCAAGAUGCUACCUACUGCUAAGAGAAAAAGACAAGGCUUGAGAAAUCAAGGGCUGACCAAAUCAUGUCCUGCUUGGACAGUAUCUCCUGACAAGUCCCUGAGGAGACAGAGGACACCAAGAGGCAGCUCAGUACUAAAGAAAAAGGAGAAAUUUUUCUAGGAAGGAGCCUACCAGAUGACUUGAUUGGAAUGAAAUGGCACAAGGAAAAAUGCCACCAAGUUUGAACAGGGAAUUGACAUAAGAUAUCUGGAUUUUUUGGAUAGCUAUCUUCUUUUCCUGAGAGUCACCUCAGCAUCUUUACUGAGUCUGAGUAAUUCACACAAACAGGAUUGACUGGACAAAUCAGAAGUAAAAAGCUGCUUUUUCACGAAUGGACUAAUUAUAUAAAAAUCAGCAUUUCUCAAGACAAAAAAGCAGAUGAAUAAAAAUAAAUGUGCAUCCUCUUAUGAAGCUUAGGUCAUGUUGUGUUUUGCUCAGACUUUAAGUUCUUUGAAGUGUGGAGCUGUGGGGGAGAUUAAGAUUUACAAAUCUGUAGGCAUUUAAACCCCUCUGAAACAAUGACGAGGCAUUCACAAGGAAGGUUGAAAUCAGACAACCCAUAAUACUUGAUGUAGAAAAUGUUCCAGCUUCCAUAAUUCUUUAUUAAAUAUUUGACAGGUUGCAUCACUUCUUUACAAUAACUUCAUUUUCUCACAUUAGUCUUUUGCUGUCAGGAAAACAAGCUACAUUUUUCUCUUUAGAUCUCCCGAGAAAAAAGUAAAGCAAGAAGGAUUUGUUCUUUCAACAAAACUUUCCCUAUGUCUAUCAAAUUCGACCGUACUUUAAAGCUAUUCUGACAGUGAAAAUGAGCAUUAUCUGUAAGUUGUCUUUAAAAAAACUUCCAGGUAGUUUGGUUUUGACCACUGUAUCAAAUAGUACUUGGCUUCAUGUUAAGGAGGUGGGUUUAUAAUAAAAAGUUAUGAAACACUGAGAAUUCAUUUGGAAUGCUUGAAACUCUUUUACCUUAAAAGUCACUGUUUUUUUCCAUGUUUUAUUUGGUAGUAGACAGAUCCUGAAUUAAGAAAGGACAGCAAAUUAACAUCGUCUUCCUAGGGAUCUCUCAGGCUCUGAGUGCUAGAAUUUUCAGAACACAGCUUGGAGAGAAAACUGCUGAAGGGACCAAGCUCUUAUUCCCUUUUGAAACCAGAUUACUCAAUAAAGAUGUAAAAAUGCUAUAUAAAUAUAUACACAGACAUUUGGACAGCAUAUGUACGUAUAUAUAUUACACCAUAGUGAAGGGGGAACAAAGUCACACUAAGUGGACAUGAAGGAAACGGUGACAAUCUAGGUGACAUUAGUCUGAGUAGGAGCAGCGACUGGCUUAUUCAGGAACAGGUAUCUAUAGACAUGGGGUUAUGGUUACCAGAAAGGCUUUGAUGUGUGGGUACAAAGUUGAGUACACCGGAGUGCAGGAGCCAAAGGCCAUGUCCUCAGACUCCCAUUGCUACUCCUCACAAACAUAAAA